Molecule: transfer RNA, 68 nt
Filed under: Heteropoda venatoria (giant crab spider)
Lineage: Eukaryota; Metazoa; Arthropoda; Arachnida; Araneae; Sparassidae
Description: tRNA-Ile
Source: RNAcentral
AAGUAAGUGCCUGAUUAAAGGGUUAAUUUGAUAGAUUAAAUAAUGUUAGAUUUUUUUAUCAUUACGUA